Molecule: transfer RNA, 62 nt
Filed under: Leiodidae sp. BMNH 1274323
Lineage: Eukaryota; Metazoa; Arthropoda; Insecta; Coleoptera; Leiodidae
Description: tRNA-Leu
Source: RNAcentral
AUUACUUUGGCAGAAUAAUGUAUUAAAUUUAGAAUUUAAAAAUGUAUAAAUUACAAGUAAUA